RNAcentral lists this ribosomal RNA (229 nucleotides) under uncultured bacterium. Its description in RNAcentral is "partial 16S ribosomal RNA". It matches the Rfam family "Bacterial small subunit ribosomal RNA", at positions 104 to 334 of the family's 1533-position model. The record is from RNAcentral.
CGGGGUGAGUAAUGUCUGGGAAACUGCCUGAUGGAGGGGGAUAAUUGCUGGAAACGGUAGCUAAUACCGCAUAACGUCGCAAGACCAAAGAGGGGGACCUUCGGGCCUCUUGCCAUCGGAUGUGCCCAGAUGGGAUUAGCUAGUAGGUGGGGUAACGGCUCACCUAGGCGACGAUCCCUAGCUGGUCUGAGAGGAUGACCAGCCACACUGGAACUGAGACACGGUCCAG